UGGGGAAUCUUGCACAAUGGGGGAAACCCUGAUGCAGCGACGCCGCGUGAGUGAUGAAGCCCUUCGGGGUGUAAAGCUCUUUCGGCAGGGACGAUAAUGACGGUACCUGCGGAAGAAGCUGCGGCUAACUACGUGCCAGCAGCCGCGGUAAUACGUAGGCAGCAAGCGUUGUUCGGAAUUACUGGGCGUAAAGAGUGUGUAGGCGGUGCUGUAAGUUCGGUGUGAAAUCUCCCGGCUCAACUGGGAGGGUGCGCCGGAAACUGCAGUGCUCGAGGAUGGGAGAGGAAAGCGGAAUUCCUGGUGUAGCGGUGAAAUGCGUAGAUAUCAGGAGGAACACCUGUGGUGUAGACGGCUUUCUGGACCAACCCUGACGCUGAGACACGAAAGCGUGGGUAGCAAACAGG
RNAcentral lists this ribosomal RNA (404 nucleotides) under uncultured bacterium. RNAcentral describes it as "bacterial SSU rRNA". It matches the Rfam family "Bacterial small subunit ribosomal RNA", at positions 355 to 776 of the family's 1533-position model. The record is from RNAcentral.